Molecule: regulatory RNA element, 275 nt
Rfam family: Mason-Pfizer monkey virus packaging signal
About the family: The packaging signal is located in the 5' UTR and is required for specific RNA encapsidation.
Source: Rfam
UGGCGCCCAACGUGGGGCUUGGAUACGGGGGAAUCCGUGAGGAAGACGACGUGGAAGCCGGCCGAGAAUAAAAGUGAAAGAAAACUGUUUCUGCCGCCGCGGGAGCCUGCCGCGUCGGACCUGCAGGUAAGUGUCACGUUCGGAAAUGGGACAAGAAUUAAGCCAGCAUGACCUUUAUGUAGACCAAUUAAAAAAGGCUUUAAAGGCACGAGGAGUAAAGGUUAAAUACGCUGAUCUACUGAAAUUUUUUGACUUUGUUAAAGAUACUUGCCCUU